Long non-coding RNA from Ochotona princeps (American pika), 433 nucleotides. RefSeq lists it as uncharacterized. NCBI's taxonomy places the organism in Eukaryota, Metazoa, Chordata, Mammalia, Lagomorpha, Ochotonidae. The record is from RefSeq and is a predicted model, not a curated record. The transcript has 3 exons.
CCUCGCCCUGUCCCUUCCCUCAGUAAAAUCCCGGUGCGACCCGGGCCCUCCUUCCCGGGGCGGGGACGGCUGACGGGAGCCGAGCGGGAGGUGCUCGCUGUAGAAGCCCUAGGCAAUGGAGCAGAUCAUGAAGACGUUGAACCAGCCCAGAGGCAAGACCUGUAGUCACGACUCCUGGGGCUUCUCCAUGAAAAAUUUGAUGAACCCUCCACCCAGACCUGCCAUGAAGCGCUUCAGCUACCAAACCCUCUCCUUGUACGUAAUGCUUCCUUCCCAUCACCAUUGCCCUCUGGAAUAAAGAGUACCAAGUGUCCUCUGCAGGUUCCGAUGGACUGCCAUAUCUUCCAUGUGCACCUGAAUAUGCUGUCCACUGCUCCGUCUGAGAUUUUUAAGACCUUUAGCAAGCUAGGACCAGAAGAAGGCUUCCUUAACC